AUUGAACGCUGGCGGCAGGCCUAACACAUGCAAGUCGAGCGGAUGAAGGGAGCUUGCUCCUGGAUUCAGCGGCGGACGGGUGAGUAAUGCCUAGGAAUCUGCCUGGUAGUGGGGGAUAACGUCCGGAAACGGGCGCUAAUACCGCAUACGUCCUGAGGGAGAAAGUGGGGGAUCUUCGGACCUCACGCUAUCAGAUGAGCCUAGGUCGGAUUAGCUAGUUGGUGGGGUAAAGGCCUACCAAGGGACGAUCCGUAACUGGUCUGAGAGGAUGAUCAGUCACACUGGAACUGAGACACGGUCCAGACUCCUACGGGAGGCAGCAGUGGGGAAUAUUGGACAAUGGGCGAAAGCCUGAUCCAGCCAUGCCGCGUGUGUGAAGAAGGUCUUCGGAUUGUAAAGCACUUUAAGUUGGGAGGAAGGGCAGUAAGUUAAUACCUUGCUGUUUUGACGUUACCAACAGAAUAAGCACCGGCUAACUUCGUG
RNAcentral lists this ribosomal RNA (483 nucleotides) under uncultured bacterium. RNAcentral's name for it is "partial 16S ribosomal RNA". It matches the Rfam family "Bacterial small subunit ribosomal RNA", at positions 30 to 507 of the family's 1533-position model. The record is from RNAcentral.